RNAcentral lists this ribosomal RNA (735 nucleotides) under uncultured Planctomycetota bacterium. RNAcentral describes it as "bacterial SSU rRNA". It matches the Rfam family "Bacterial small subunit ribosomal RNA", at positions 586 to 1313 of the family's 1533-position model. Lineage: Bacteria; Pseudomonadati; Planctomycetota. The record is from RNAcentral.
AGUGUCUUGUGGAAUCCCACGGCUCAACCGUGGAAUGGCAGGGCAUACUGCGCCCCUUGAGGCCGGUAGGGGGUGUCGGAACUGUAGGUGUAGCGGUGAAAUGCGUAGAUAUCUACAGGAACGCCGAAGGCGAAGGCAGACACCUGGGCCGGUUCUGACGCUGAGGCACGAAAGCGUGGGGAGCGAACGGGAUUAGAUACCCCGGUAGUCCACGCCGUAAACGUUGUGCACUAGGUCCCGGCAGCUCUGACGCUGUCGGGGCCGCAGCAAAAGCAUUAAGUGCACCGCCUGGGGAGUACGGUCGCAAGGCUAAAACUCAAAGGAAUUGACGGGGGCUCACACAAGCGGUGGAGCAUGUGGCUUAAUUCGAGGCAACGCGAAGAACCUUAUCCUGGGUUUGACAUGCACGGAUUAGCUGUUGGAAACAGCAGUGACGCUCUUUGAGUGGAACGUGCACAGGUGCUGCAUGGCUGUCGUCAGCUCGUGCUGUGAAGUGUCGGGUUAAGUCCCUUAACGAGCGAAACCCCUACCACUAGUUGCUAACGGGUUAUGCCGAGGACUCUAGCGGGACUGCCGGUGUCAAACCGGAGGAAGGUGGGGAUGACGUCAAGUCCUCAUGGCCUUUAUGCCCAGGGCUGCACACGUGCUACAAUGGCGCGUACAAAGCGAAGCAAUGCCGCGAGGCGGAGCAAAUCGCACAAAGCGCGCCUCAGUUCGGAUUGCAGUCUGCAACUC